RNAcentral lists this ribosomal RNA (468 nucleotides) under uncultured bacterium. RNAcentral describes it as "partial 16S ribosomal RNA". It matches the Rfam family "Bacterial small subunit ribosomal RNA", at positions 28 to 507 of the family's 1533-position model. The record is from RNAcentral.
GAUGAACGCUGGCGGCGUGCUUAACACAUGCAAGUCGAACGGUGAAGGCGGAGCUUGCUCUGCUGGAUCAGUGGCGAACGGGUGAGUAACACGUGAGCAAUCUGCCCCUGACUCUGGGAUAAGCGCUGGAAACGGCGUCUAAUACUGGAUACGAGCUGCGAAGGCAUCUUCAGCAGCUGGAAAGAAUUUCGGUCAGGGAUGAGCUCGCGGCCUAUCAGCUUGUUGGUGAGGUAAUGGCUCACCAAGGCGUCGACGGGUAGCCGGCCUGAGAGGGUGACCGGCCACACUGGGACUGAGACACGGCCCAGACUCCUACGGGACGCAGCAGUGGGGAAUAUUGCACAAUGGGCGAGAGCCUGAUGCAGCAACGCCGCGUGAGGGACGACGGCCUUCGGGUUGUAAACCUCUUUUAGCAGGGAAGAAGCGAAAGUGACGGUACCUGCAGAAAAAGCGCCGGCUAACUACGUG